GGGUUACCGAAUGUCGAAUUACCACGCCAGGUUAUGCUUGCGGAACUACAAAAACCCAGUCCCGCUUUCACUGGACUAAGAAACCAAAGUACUACGUCGAUUUGGAUGCAUGCAUUCCGCAUGAAAUGGAUAUUCAAUGCCUUGAGGAAGAUGAAUUUCAUCAUGCUGUCGUGUGGUCUCCUGAACUUGGCUGCCAACUUGUGGUGGAAGUUGCUUUUAUCCUAGAUGUGGACUGUUAUGAUAUCUGGAGAGAUUGUCCGUGCGUCAAACCCAAAGCAUCUGCCAAAAGGGACAUCUGUUCGCUGGGGAUUAUUAGCAUAUUACUAUUUGUUCAUUCAUUGCUUUUUCAGUAAAGUAAUUUUAAUCAAUUCAAUAUAUUUAAAUUGGUAAAAUGCGGCUUGCAUAAACAGUAUAUUUACAUAUUAAGCAGAGAUAACCACAUUUCAUUGCAUCCCUUGAUUUUAAAGUCAUUUUUUUCAUUUAUUUUUCAAAUCCACAAGUAGUACAAAAAUGUUUUUAUGAAACCAUGACAAGGAUAUUCCUAACUUUUGUUCUCCUCGGUCUACUGGGUCCACUCACCACUGAAGGAUUAACAACAAGGAAUAACACAAUAUGCAUUGACUGUUCGAAGGACGACAUGGUAGCUUGUGAAAUAGAUGAAACCGGAUUUGAUUGUUUUGACCCGACGGGCGAGGAUUUGUCCGAAAGGGUCGCAGUCGAGGGCCUUCACUGGGAGGGCACAAGUACCAAGGAUUUGGAUAAAUGCAUUCCAAGAGAUUUAUUGAUUGAGUGCAUGGAAGAAACAAAUUUCAAAAAAGUCGUCGUUUGGUCUCCCGGCUUGGGCUGUCAAGUUGUACAAAAAGCGAGCGAAAGUAAAAGGAGUGCUUGUUUCAGUGCCACUCUAAAUUGCCCGUGCAUCAAGGACAGAAAGGAAUCCGGAUCGGAUGAUCUGUAUACCAGAAGCUGGAUCGUACUUGUUACCUUACACAUAGUGAAGCUCUUGAUCUUAUCCCAUCAGUGACAAUCUAGAAAAUACAAAAACAAAUUUUAGAAAGCAUGUUAAAGCUAUGCUAUACUUUAAUAAUCCUUUCAAUUCCAAUGACCACGUACGGUUCAACAUAUAAUGGCACAAUGUGUGUUGACUGCACGACUGAGAAUAACGAUAAAUGCGAGAUUUCAAAAACCGGGUAUGAGUGCUUCGACCGGACGAGUCGAAUUUACGAUGAGGAUGUAGAGCCGUACUUCGGUUUGAAUCGAAAUCCUCCGAGUACCAGUGAUUUAGAUGUUUGCAUCCCGCAGGACUUGGACGUUCCGUGCAUUAAGAACGAAAAUUUCAAAUAUGCCGUAGUUUGGUCUCCGGAACUCGGAUGCCAACUGGUACAAAGGGACUACGACGAAAAGGAGAUAUGUUUUACUGCAAGACAAAAUUGUCCAUGCGUGGAAAGUGGAUCCGGCAAAAUGUACAGAAACAUAUUGACCCUGAUUACAAGUAGAUACUUGGUGCCACUAAUAAUGCUUUUUAAAUUACUACAUUUAAAUUGCUAAGUUUUUAAGCCACUUUACAAUUUGCCAAAUUUUUACGUCCCUUAAGAAAUAAUUUAAAAUGUAAACCUUCUAUUCGUUUGGUCCCUAUUUGCAUUCUACUUUUAGUACAAAUUUAAAAUAUAUCUUUCUAAAUUUUAUGUGGUAAAAGUAAGCUUAAAAUUGGACAGUUAGGUGUUGGCAAAAUUGCUGGUAUCGCAAUAAACGCAUUUCUCGAA
This is an RNA transcript of Drosophila biarmipes, 1760 nucleotides long. RefSeq lists it as uncharacterized. Lineage: Eukaryota; Metazoa; Arthropoda; Insecta; Diptera; Drosophilidae. The record is from RefSeq and is a predicted model, not a curated record. The transcript has 5 exons.